CAACCUGUGACAUUCAAACUGGGGCCUCUUUUGGUUUUUUAUGGACGAAAAUUGCCACCAGGUUUUGAGAGUUACUGAUUG
Molecule: microRNA precursor, 81 nt
Organism: Cricetulus griseus (Chinese hamster)
Lineage: Eukaryota; Metazoa; Chordata; Mammalia; Rodentia; Cricetidae
Source: Ensembl